RNAcentral lists this ribosomal RNA (484 nucleotides) under uncultured bacterium. RNAcentral's name for it is "bacterial SSU rRNA". It matches the Rfam family "Bacterial small subunit ribosomal RNA", at positions 28 to 509 of the family's 1533-position model. The record is from RNAcentral.
GACGAACGCUGGCGGCGUGCUUAACACAUGCAAGUCGAACGGAUCUAUAGCAAUAUAGGUUAGUGGCGAACGGGUGAGUAACACGUGACCAAUCUGCCCCGGAGUGGGGAAUAACGGCGGGAAACUGUCGCUAAUACCGCAUAUUGAGACGAGUCUGCAUGGACAUGUCUUGAAAGAUUUAUCGCUCCGGGAUGAGGUCGCGCCCCAUUAGCUUGUUGGCGAGGUAACGGCUCACCAAGGCGACGAUGGGUAGCUGGUCUGAGAGGACGGUCAGCCACAUUGGGACUGAGACACGGCCCAGACUCCUACGGGAGGCAGCAGUCGGGAAUAUUCGGCCAAUGCGCGAAAGCGUGACCGAGCGACACCGCGUGGGCGACGAAGAACUUAGGUUUGUAAAGCCCUUUUGCUGGAGAGGAAUACUGUUGCGAUAACAUCAAGGCAGUUUGACAGUAUCCAGCGAAUAAGCCGCAGCUUACUACGUGCC